RNAcentral lists this ribosomal RNA (448 nucleotides) under Bacillus sp. (in: firmicutes). RNAcentral's name for it is "bacterial SSU rRNA". It matches the Rfam family "Bacterial small subunit ribosomal RNA", at positions 31 to 467 of the family's 1533-position model. Lineage: Bacteria; Bacillati; Bacillota; Bacilli; Caryophanales; Bacillaceae. The record is from RNAcentral.
GAACGCUGGCGGCGUGCCUAAUACAUGCAAGUCGAGCGGACAGAAGGGAGCUUGCUCCCGGAUGUUAGCGGCGGACGGGUGAGUAACACGUGGGUAACCUGCCUGUAAGACUGGGAUAACUCCGGGAAACCGGAGCUAAUACCGGAUAGUUCCUUGAACCGCAUGGUUCAAGGAUGAAAGACGGUUUCGGCUGUCACUUACAGAUGGACCCGCGGCGCAUUAGCUAGUUGGUGGGGUAAUGGCUCACCAAGGCGACGAUGCGUAGCCGACCUGAGAGGGUGAUCGGCCACACUGGGACUGAGACACGGCCCAGACUCCUCCCGGGAGGCAGCAGUAGGGAAUCUUCCGCAAUGGACGAAAGUCUGACGGAGCAACGCCGCGUGAGUGAUGAAGGUUUUCGGAUCGUAAAGCUCUGUUGUUAGGGAAGAACAAGUGCGAGAGUAACUGC